RNAcentral lists this transfer RNA (75 nucleotides) under Cordylochernes scorpioides. Its description in RNAcentral is "tRNA-Thr". The record is from RNAcentral. Lineage: Eukaryota; Metazoa; Arthropoda; Arachnida; Pseudoscorpiones; Chernetidae.
UGUCAAGGGAUGGGAAUUGAACCCACAACCUUCCGCUUACCGGGCAGAUGCCAUGACCACUAGGCUACCCUGGAC